UUUGGAUUUGUCUGCAAUGUAGCAUGCUUCUGUCGAUUAAAAAAAGCUGCUCAGUAUGUGUAGAUAAUCCUUGCUACUGCGGCUUUUUUGAAAGAUAACGUUAGCCAUGGAGAACUGCAAAAGUGUUGCUACUGCGCUCAAUAACAUUGCAGCCCUGAAUUUAGGAGGCACUAUCGACAAAGACCAGUGGGAAAAAGUUGUAAUGGAUUACUUUCUGCACACGGAAAAGGAGGACCGAGCACUCCUCCAUUCUCAUCAACGGGGCUGUAGUGGAGCAGUUUGAGAGCGUCACCAACAAACUACCAUGGUCAAACAUACCAAGACAGUUGUGAAGAGCGGACGACAAUGGCUAUUCUGCCACGUCGCGGACACCGACGUCUUGCUUCCAGACAAACUAAACACCUUCUUUGCUCGCUUUGAGGAUAAAACAGUGUCAACGACGCAGCCCGCUACCAAAGACUGUGGGCUCUCCUUCUCCGUGGCCGACGUGAGUAAGACAUUUAAACGUGUUAACCCUCGCAAGGCUGCCGGCCCAGAUUGCAUCCCUAGCCGCUUCCUCAGAGCAUGCGCAGACCAGCUGGCUGGUGUGUUUACGGACAUAUUCAAUCUUUCCCUAUCCCAGUCUACUGUCCCCACAUGCUUCAAGAUGGCCACCAUCGCAUUCUUGGGUACAGGAACAAAGGUAACUGAACUAAAUGACUAUUGCCCCGUAGCACUCAAUUCUGUCAUCAUGAAGUGCUUUGAGAGACUAGUCAAGGAUCAUAUCACCUCCACCUUACCUGUCAUCCUAGACCCACUUCAAUUUGCUUACUGGCCCAAUAAGUCAACAGACGAUGCAAUCGCCAUCACACUGCCCUAUCCCAUCUGGACAAGAGGAAUACCUAUGUAAGAAUGUCGUUCAUUGACUAUAGCUAAGCAUUCAACACCAUAGUACGUGGCCAUGCACACCUCCAACUCAAUCAUCAAGUUUGCAGAUAACACAACAGUAGUAGGCUUGAUUACCAACAACAACAAGACAGCCUACAGGGAGGAGGUGAGGGCCCUGGGAAUGUGGUGUUGGAAAAUAACCUCUCACUCAACGUCAACAAAACAAAAGAGAUGAUUGUGGACUUCAGGAAACAGCAG
This 1125-nucleotide long non-coding RNA is filed under the name Salmo salar (Atlantic salmon). RNAcentral's name for it is "lncRNA (ENSSSAG00000096458.1)". Lineage: Eukaryota; Metazoa; Chordata; Actinopteri; Salmoniformes; Salmonidae. The record is from RNAcentral.